AUUGAACGCUGGCGGAAUGCUUUACACAUGCAAGUCGAACGGCAGCACGGACUUCGGCCUGGUGGCGAGUGGCGAACGGGUGAGUAAUGUAUCGGAACGUGCCCAGGCGUGGGGGAUAACGUAGUGAAAAUUACGCUAAUACCGCAUACGAUCUAUGGAUGAAAGCGGGGGAUCGCAAGACCGCGCGCGAUUGGAGCGGCCGAUAUCAGAUUAGGUAGUUGGUGGGGUAAAGGCUCACCAAGCCGACGAGCUGUAGCUGGUCUGAGAGGACGACCAGCCACACUGGGACUGAGACACGGCCCAGACUCCUACGGGAGGCAGCAGUGGGGAAUUUUGGACAAUGGGCGAAAGCCUGAUCCAGCCAUUCCGCGUGCAGGAUGAAGGCCCUCGGGUUGUAAACUGCUUUUGUACAGAACGAAAAGGUUUCUACUAAUACUAGGAGCUCAUGACGGUACUGUAAGAAUAAGCACCGGCUAACUACGUGCCAGCCGCCGCCGUAA
RNAcentral lists this ribosomal RNA (500 nucleotides) under uncultured bacterium. RNAcentral describes it as "partial 16S ribosomal RNA". It matches the Rfam family "Bacterial small subunit ribosomal RNA", at positions 30 to 523 of the family's 1533-position model. The record is from RNAcentral.